GGGAAUCUACCGUGCCCUGCGGAAUAGCUCCGGGAAACUGGAAUUAAUACCGCAUACGCCCUACGGGGGAAAGAUUUAUCGGGGUAUGAUGAGCCCGCGUUGGAUUAGCUAGUUGGUGGGGUAAAGGCCUACCAAGGCGACGAUCCAUAGCUGGUCUGAGAGGAUGAUCAGCCACAUUGGGACUGAGACACGGCCCAAACUCCUACGGGAGGCAGCAGUGGGGAAUAUUGGACAAUGGGCGCAAGCCUGAUCCAGCCAUGCCGCGUGAGUGAUGAAGGCCUUAGGGUUGUAAAGCUCUUUCACCGGAGAAGAUAAUGACGGUAUCCGGAGAAGAAGCCCCGGCUAACUUCGUGCCAGCAGCCGCGGUAAUACGAAGGGGGCUAGCGUUGUUCGGAAUUACUGGGCGUAAAGCGCACGUAGGCGGAUAUUUAAGUCAGGGGUGAAAUCCCAGAGCUCAACUCUGGAACUGCCUUUGAUACUGGGUAUCUUGAGUAUGGAAGAGGCAAGUGGAAUUGCGAGU
Molecule: ribosomal RNA, 520 nt
Filed under: uncultured bacterium
Lineage: Bacteria
Description: bacterial SSU rRNA
Rfam family: Bacterial small subunit ribosomal RNA
Source: RNAcentral